UUAUGAUGGAUGUGAUAGUCAUUGCAUUGAACAUACAGUAUAUGUCGUUGUUAAGUAGAAAGUAUGGUAGCCAAGUUAGCGCUCUUAAUUUAUUACAACAUAUGGUAGCUAUUACCGUUUUCCUCUCUUGCAUGACCUACGACUUGUAUGCGGCUUUCUGGUCCUAGUUCUCUCGUUGUCCCAAACAAGUGAUCAAACGUUUCAGUCAUUGGAUUCCACUGUGCGAUAGCAGAUAUUUCGGGGUUUUUCUUGUACAAGAACAAGGCAGCUUCGUGUACUAUAUUGUCGUCUUCCAUGAUGGCGAUCACCU
Molecule: non-coding RNA, 310 nt
Organism: Paramuricea clavata
Lineage: Eukaryota; Metazoa; Cnidaria; Anthozoa; Malacalcyonacea; Plexauridae
Source: the annotation of a GenBank genome assembly